CUACGUAUCUGUCCUCUUGAUAACCCCACCCGGGGGAGGGGUUGAGAAAACAAAACCAUACAAAACUUAGAUAUGCACAUUUAACAAGAUUUACAUCGUAUCCGAUCCGAUUUACAAUAACCUUUACAAAAAAUCUAAAGCUGAUAUCAAUGAUGGGGAAAAACCAACAAUGGGAACAAUGAUUUUGUUUUGAUUCCAUUACUUACCAACAUAAACAUAUGUAGAUCCACAAUUUUGGUAACCAGAUUUGUACUAGCUACUUCUUUUUCUCCUUUCGAUAAAGCAGCCGUAUAACUUUAAG
RNAcentral lists this long non-coding RNA (301 nucleotides) under Daucus carota (carrot). Its description in RNAcentral is "long non-coding RNA (DCAR_LNC005785)". The record is from RNAcentral. Lineage: Eukaryota; Viridiplantae; Streptophyta; Magnoliopsida; Apiales; Apiaceae.